This is a long non-coding RNA of Mobula hypostoma (lesser devil ray), 1574 nucleotides long. RefSeq lists it as uncharacterized. The record is from RefSeq and is a predicted model, not a curated record. Lineage: Eukaryota; Metazoa; Chordata; Chondrichthyes; Myliobatiformes; Myliobatidae. The transcript has 5 exons.
GAACUCUACAGCAUUAUACAACAGCCAUAUCAUGGUCAAAGUACUUCUACAGCUUGAAACUCUCUGCUUCAGCAUUCUGUGCUCCAGCAACUCUCAUGGCUCCACUAGCUCUACUCAGGAAGCUCUCUGAGGCGAUGUCUGCUUUUGAGGACAGAACGCUGCCAAGGAAUGUAGAUGAUGCAAUGCAAGCCGCGCACUCUAUAACAGAUGUAUUGUAUGCCGGAAUCGACUUAUGCAGUACAGGUGUGCAAGCAUGUUCAAAGAUAUACCUGGUGAUUCCUUUGCAAUGACCAUGACAUUACUGGAAGAGUAAUAGGAACCAUCCAUUUGAAUUUAAAAACCAAGCUAAUACAAAAUAAAUAAGACUCAACCUGUAAAUGUGGAGGAGGAGGAGAAGAUGGUGGCGUGAUGCAGCUUGUGCAGACACUCCGGUGAAUGAUAUCUAUAAUCUGUCAAGUAGGAUGCUGUGCACAAUCCUGAUUUGAUGGAGACAGACGUGAGAGAACGGAGGAACAUCUGGAGAAACUUCUGAAAUGCCUUUUUCGCUGCCACUGUUACUGUGUGAUCCAGGAUCUCCAGAGGGGAAGGCCUCGAAUCCUUAGCUUUGCUUGUUGUUCGGUGGCUGGGACGGGGUUGAAGCGCUCGGCAGAGAUGGUGCUCGGUGCUCGGUGUCGAAGGGCUGGUUGGAGGCCCGAAGUUUUCAGACGAACUCAGAGUCGGCUGGGGUCGGGUGCUUCCAAUGCAUCAACAGUUGUCGGUGCCUGGAGGUUUAUGGCAGAGAGAGUUUCUCCCUUCUGCCGCCUGCUAUCGGGGACUAUCGGGAGUCGAUCGGAACUUUGAGACUCUUUUUUACCGUUCCCAUGGUCUGUUCUUUAUCAAAUUAUGGUAUUGCUUUGCACUGCUGUAACUAUACGUUAUAAUUACGUGGUCUUGUCAGUGUUAGCCUUUGGUUUGUCCUGUUUUUUUGUGAUAUCACUCUGGAGGAACAUUGCAUCAUUUCUUAAUGCAAGUAUGCAUUUCUAAAUGACAAUAAACAAGGGCUGAGUGUCCUCAUAAUCUAAUCUAAUCUAAAUGAACCUUCUGGAACUCUUGCAUGAGGACUCCUUGAGUCCCUCUGCACCUCUGAUGUUUGAACCUCCUCCCCAUUUCGAUAAUAAUCCGCACUAUUAUUCCUUUUACCAAAAUGCAUUGUCAUACAUUUCCAAUACUGUGUUCCAUUUGCCACUUUUUUGCCCAUUCUUCCAAUUUGUCUAAGUCCAGCUGCAAUCGCAUUGCUUCCUCAGCAUUACCUACCCCUCCACCUGUCUUUGCAUCUUCUGCAAGCUUUGCCACAAUGCCAUCAAUUUCAUUACCUGAAUCAUUAACAAACCAUGUGAAAAGCAGUGAUCCCAAUACUGAUCCCUGAGGAGCAACGCUAGUCAAUGGCAGCCAAACAGAAAAGGCCUCUUUUAUUCCCACUCACUGCCUCCUGCCUGUCUGCUAUUCCGCUAUCUGUGGAAGUAUCUUUCCUGUAAUACCAUUGGAUUUUAUUUUGUUAAGCAGCCUCAUGUGUGGCACCUUAUCAAACGCUUUCU